Molecule: transfer RNA, 68 nt
Filed under: Marmota monax (woodchuck)
Lineage: Eukaryota; Metazoa; Chordata; Mammalia; Rodentia; Sciuridae
Description: tRNA.Ala
Source: RNAcentral
GGUUGUGGCUCAGUGGUAGAUUGCUCGCUUAGCAAUGUGCAAGGCCCUGGGUUCGAUCCUCAGCACCA